UGACAAGAAGACUGGAACUAAUUUGCUUCAAUGGCCAGUGGAAGAAAUAGAGAGCUUGAGACUUAGCAGUGAUGAAUUUAAGGAAUUAUUGGUUAAACCUGGUAGAGUAGUACCAUUACACAUUGGCCUUGCAACACAGUUGGACAUAUUUGCUGAAUUUGAAAUAGAAUUGUUGGGAUCAGAAGGGAUUGUGAAUAAGGAGGACUCUAAAUUUUGAAGGGUGUAGAGUUGGUACGGUUGAGAGAAGGGCUUUUGGACCAUUUGGCAUUUUGGCUAUUGCAAAUAACCAACUUUCUGAACUAACACCAAUUUAUUUUCGUCUUUCAAAUUAUGGAAAUGGAACCUCAACUACUACAACUAUUACUACUUCUACUUCUACUUCCUUCUGUGUUGAUGAAACUAGGUCAUCAAAGGCACCUGAUGUAUCAAAGCUAGUUUUCGGAAGCAAAUUGCCUGUUCUAAGUGAUGAAAAACUAUCAUUGAAGGUAUUGGUAAGUAGUGUCAAUUAACCUAUUUGGUCUCACGUGACUUGAUUCACGAGAUAAUAUUUAAAUUGGAUUAUCAAAAAUCACACAUAAGUCGAUAUGGUUCAUUAAACUGAUUAAAGAUUCAAUACUUUCAAUUUAGUUCUUGAAAGAUA
This is a non-coding RNA of Arachis ipaensis, 640 nucleotides long. NCBI's taxonomy places the organism in Eukaryota, Viridiplantae, Streptophyta, Magnoliopsida, Fabales, Fabaceae. The record is from RefSeq and is a predicted model, not a curated record.